RNAcentral lists this ribosomal RNA (253 nucleotides) under uncultured bacterium. Its description in RNAcentral is "partial 16S ribosomal RNA". It matches the Rfam family "Bacterial small subunit ribosomal RNA", at positions 524 to 776 of the family's 1533-position model. The record is from RNAcentral.
UACGUAGGGUGCGAGCGUUAAUCGGAAUUACUGGGCGUAAAGCGUGCGCAGGCGGUUUUGUAAGUCUGUCGUGAAAUCCCCGGGCUCAACCUGGGAAUGGCGAUGGAGACUGCAAGGCUGGAAUCUGGCAGAGGGGGGUAGAAUUCCACGUGUAGCAGUGAAAUGCGUAGAGAUGUGGAGGAACACCGAUGGCGAAGGCAGCCCCCUGGGUCAAGAUUGACGCUCAUGCACGAAAGCGUGGGGAGCAAACAGG